AUAUUUAUUUAAAAUUUUAAUAAACUUUAUUUUAUUUUAAUAUUGAAAAUUAUAUACUUAAUUCUAAUGUCUAAUCCAAAUGAUUUAUUCACUUCAAUAAUAUAUUUAAUCUCACCUAUCUAAUCCUAUUUCUGAACAUAUUUAUAUAUUAUCUAGGUUUAUAUAUUUUCUUCAAAAAUAUUGCAUUUGAGUUUAUACGAUGGAUAUGAUGGAGAUAGAAAAGAAGGGAUAAGAGAAAUCUUGGAAAACAAAUGUAAAGGAGACGGUGGUACAGAGAUGAGCAGGUUCUUUAGGCCAGGAAAGAGUAUUAUGGAAAUCUUGAAAAAUAUCCGGUUAAAAAACGUCAGAAAGUGAAUAUAGCAAGAAAAUAAUCCAAUGAAGAACAAGAAAAAUGGAAAAUACAUUAGGAAGAAUUCUUCUUUUUAAUAUAUAUUGAUCAAAAUAUUGAAUCAUAAUGAAAAUAAUUUUACUAUUGAUUCAAAUAUUUUUUUAAAUAAUAUCAAAACAAAAAUAAUAUUUAUAUACGAGAAAAAUACAUUGUUAAUUCAAAUAUUUUUAUAUAAAGAAAAAAUACUAUUGUUAUAAACGGAGACCACUUUACUCCUGAUUCAAAUAUUGAAUAAUAUAAAUUUAUCGAUAACUUUUUUCAAAUAUGUGAAAAAAUUAAGAGAGUUUUAAAAAUAUUGAGUAUAUAUUUUAAAAUUGUAUUCUCCCCUAUAAAAUAAUUAUCUUAUUUAUAAAAAGAUUUAAUUGAAAUACACUGACAGUGUAAAAGAAUUUUAAACCGUCAGUUAAUCUUAAACGUUGGAUAUUAAAAUAAGUUUGACUUUUAUUUUAAAAAUCUAUAAAGUAAUGCAAAUGGGUGAUGAUGAUGAAUUGAUAGUGUAAAACUUUUUACACUGACAAUGUAUAGUAAUUAAUCCCUUUAUAAAAAAUUAAAACGAUUCACUUAUCUAAUACAAGUUUUAAUAGCUUUUAUUUUUAAUAAUAUUUUUUAUAAUAUUAUUAUUUACAUUUCAUCUUCUAUAUAUAUAUAUAUAUAUAUAUAUAUAUAUUACUAUUUCAAUUUAAAUUUACUAUUAUUCUUAAGUUUAUUCUUUUUUCAACUUUCAACUUUUAUGAUAGUGUAUAAACAAAUGUACGUUCAAAAUUAUAUCCGAAUAAAAAAAAUGUAUCAUGUACGUAUACACGGAUUUAUUAGUAGUUUAUCAAGGAAACAAAUACUUUUAGCCUAUGCCUUAUAAAUAUUAUAAAUGUGGGAGAGUUUAGUUAAAAACAUAAUUUCAUCCUUUUCUCCACCUCUUUCUCAUUAGAAAAGGAGAAAAUGGAGUUAAAAAGCUGGUUUGCAAGUUCAUCUAGCUAAUAAUCAUCCUUAUUGCUCCUUGAUCAUUAUCAACAAUCAAAAUUAGCAUUGCAUGCAUGAUUAUGCUAGAGUUAUAAGUGAUGUAGAUUAGAGUACUUAGUAAGAAAGGAAGGCAAGAAAUUGAAAAAAUUAUAAAUAUUUCAACUCAUCGAUCAAGCUUGCAAGCAAUUGAGGCAUCACCAUCAUCAUCUUUUCCAAAGGUGGGUUUCCUAUUACACCAUGAUUCUAUAGGAUAUGAAUGACAUGAAUGUUUGGAUAUAAAAUUCUGAGUUGCAUGUCAAUAGAUUAAGUAAGAAUGAUGAAAUAAGAUUGUAAGGAAUUGUGUGUUUAAUGAGUAUAAUUGAUGUAUAAUUAUGAUGAAUCAUAUCAUCAGUUAUUAUGUUUGAAACCCUAGAUUAGUAGGCAAUGUGAUGUCUGAAAAUUUUAUGUUUAUUAUAAAGUCAUAGUUGCACAAUAGGUCAUUUGUGUGUAUAUGAUCAUUUGAGAAAUUUUAGAUUAAUUUGAAAGUAUACAAUCAUCUAUCAAAAGGCAUGCAAUCGUUCUUGAUGCACUUAAAAAUUAUAUGCGGGUGGAGAAGGUAUGGACAAUCUGCAGCAGUUAUGCAUUUGUAAUAAUCUGCAAUAAGAUAUAGAAUAAAACAAUGUUAUUAAAAUGAAAUAAAAUAUUUAGUAAGAAUUACAAAAUAAAGAAGGAUUUUUUUUAUUGGAAAAUAAAUUCAUUCAAAGAGCAAGAAGGAAAUUUGAAUAGAUGAAAAACUGAUUUACACAUUGGUUUCACUGCCUCCGUUGAAAGAAAGAAUAUGGAGAGUAAUAAAAUCAUAGUAUAAACAAAUUUGAUAUUGUUAGUCAUAUUUUCCUUCGUUGCCAAUAACAACUAGAAUAUGUGUUCAUUAAUUUAUAGUGUACAAAUUUUUUUUUUUGCAAUGAAAAAAUAAAUAAACUUUUUUACCAAUUAAAUUGAUCAAAUUGUUUUGUUGUCCCUUUCUUACUAAUAAAUAUCUCUUAAAUUAAUGUGUUGUGUGUUUCCCCUCUAGAACAAUCAAUAAAAGGGUGACUUAAAAAAAAUUCUAAUCAUUAGAACUUAUUAGUUUUUAAGUAAAGUUUUAACCACAUAUGAUAGAGAGGGGACAUGUUUUUUUUUUUAUAGAAUUAUUCGACAAUUAUAAAAUUUUAAUAACAAUAAUUACAUUGGACUAAACAUCAUUGUUCUGUACAAGUUGAACAUGUCAUCGAUUUCUUUUAUUUUAUUUUUAUAUGUAGCCUUUUUCUUUGUUACAAAAUAUAACAAUUAUAUAAAGUCAUUUGUUCAUAGAAUAUAGCUGUCAAUAUUUAUCUUUUGGUGAUUUCUUUUAUAUAUUUUGAUUAAUAUUUAUAUACAAAAUUGAAUAGGAUUUCGAUAGCCACACCCUCUAUUGUUAUUGAAAGAGUUAUCUCAUUGAUGAUUUCAAAAAUUUCUAACAAAUUUAGUUUUUAUAUUUAUUUAUUUUAGAAAAGAAAAUUUUGGAGAUGAAAUACAUCAUUUAAUCAAGAUUAAUCGAUCUUGAAAUUAUGUGGCACCUCAGCAAAUAAACAAUCAUAUGUAAUAUUGUUAACACUCUAUCUUCGACUCUUUUUACUGCCUUGCCCUAUUUUUAAAUUUUUUUUUUCAAUAUAUCCCACUUUGAAAAUUAAUUUCCAGAAUGUCCUAUUUUAUAUCUUUGUCUCGCCUAUUGAAAGGACGAGUUGCUGAAUCACGUAAAUUAGUAUUGACUCGCCCAUUGGUUGGACGAGUCCUGGCAAAACUUUUUCCCCAUGCAUGAACUCGGCCAAUGGAUGGCCGAGUGAAUGAAGUGAAUUUUUUUUUGUUUUUUAAACUAAUUUAAUAGAUU
RNAcentral lists this long non-coding RNA (3230 nucleotides) under Lathyrus oleraceus (garden pea). RNAcentral describes it as "Pisum sativum (pea) long non-coding RNA (PSAT_LNC010697)". The record is from RNAcentral. Lineage: Eukaryota; Viridiplantae; Streptophyta; Magnoliopsida; Fabales; Fabaceae.